This 454-nucleotide ribosomal RNA is filed under the name uncultured bacterium. RNAcentral's name for it is "partial 16S ribosomal RNA". It matches the Rfam family "Bacterial small subunit ribosomal RNA", at positions 341 to 792 of the family's 1533-position model. The record is from RNAcentral.
ACGGAAGGCAGCAGUGAGGAAUAUUGGUCAAUGGGCGGAAGCCUGAACCAGCCAUCUCGCGUGCAGGACUACGGCCCUACGGGUCUUAAACUGCUUUUAUGGGGGGAUAAAGUCGGGCAUUCGUGCCCGUUUGCAGGUACCCCAUGAAUAAGGAUCGGCUAACUCCGUGCCAGCAGCCGCGGUAAUACGGAGGAUCCGAGCGUUAUCCGGAUUUAUUGGGUUUAAAGGGUGCGCAGGCGGCCCGUUAAGUCAGCGGUGGAAUGUCGGGGCUCAACCCGGGCACUGCCGUUGAAACUGGGGGGCUUGAGUACGGAUGAGGUCGGCGGAAUGUGACGUGUAGCGGUGAAAUGCAUAGAUAUGUCACAGAACACCGAUUGCGAAGGCAGCUGGCCAAUCCGCAACUGACGCUCAUGCACGAAAGCGUGGGGAUCGAACAGGAUUAGAUACCCUGGUA